GGUCUGUCAAGUCGGAUGUGAAAUCCCCGGGCUCAACCUGGGAACUGCAUUCGAAACUGGCAGGCUUGAGUCUUGUAGAGGGGGGUAGAAUUCCAGGUGUAGCGGUGAAAUGCGUAGAGAUCUGGAGGAAUACCGGUGGCGAAGGCGGCCCCCUGGACAAAGACUGACGCUCAGGUGCGAAAGCGUGGGGAGCAAACAGGAUUAGAUACCCUGGUAGUCCACGCCGUAAACGAUGUCUACUUGGAGGUUGUGCCCUUGAGGCGUGGCUUCCGGAG
This 275-nucleotide ribosomal RNA is filed under the name Salmonella enterica. RNAcentral describes it as "partial 16S ribosomal RNA". It matches the Rfam family "Bacterial small subunit ribosomal RNA", at positions 577 to 851 of the family's 1533-position model. RNAcentral also lists the same sequence under 1 other name. Lineage: Bacteria; Pseudomonadati; Pseudomonadota; Gammaproteobacteria; Enterobacterales; Enterobacteriaceae. The record is from RNAcentral.